GCAUAAGAAAACAGUCAGAUAUGCACAGAAUAUGCAACAUGGUACAAUGAAGUUCUAAAAUACCAAUAUUCUGAAAAACAAAAAAGGUAGAAGGAGAACCAUCUAGAUUAACUGGGAUUUUGAAACAAUUUCCCACAGGAAGCCAUGGAGCUUUGGACUCCACCAGUACUAUUUUAAAUUUUUUGAAGGACAAGAAAGAAAACAGCACUGCAGUUCUACUGAUGUAGAACUACUGAUGAAUGGAUGUUUAACAAAUGAAUAACUCCCACUGGA
Oryctolagus cuniculus (rabbit) is the source of this 273-nucleotide non-coding RNA. Lineage: Eukaryota; Metazoa; Chordata; Mammalia; Lagomorpha; Leporidae. The record is from RefSeq and is a predicted model, not a curated record.